UACGGGGGGGGCAAGCGUUGUUCGGAAUUACUGGGCGUAAAGGGCUCGUAGGUGGCCAACUCAGUCGGAUGUGAAAUCCCCAGGCUUAACUUGGGAACUGCAUCCGAUACUGGAUGGCUUGAAUCCGGGAGAGGGAUGCAGAAUUCCAGGUGUAGCGGUGAAAUGCGUAGAUAUCUGGAGGAAUACCGGUGGCGAAGGCGGCAUCCUGGACCGGAAUUGACACUGAGGAGCGAAAGCCAGGGGAGCAAACGGG
This 253-nucleotide ribosomal RNA is filed under the name uncultured Acidobacteriota bacterium. RNAcentral describes it as "uncultured Acidobacteria bacterium partial 16S ribosomal RNA". It matches the Rfam family "Bacterial small subunit ribosomal RNA", at positions 524 to 776 of the family's 1533-position model. The record is from RNAcentral. Lineage: Bacteria; Pseudomonadati; Acidobacteriota.